RNAcentral lists this long non-coding RNA (205 nucleotides) under Elaeis guineensis (African oil palm). RNAcentral describes it as "long non-coding RNA (EGUI_LNC048812)". The record is from RNAcentral. Lineage: Eukaryota; Viridiplantae; Streptophyta; Magnoliopsida; Arecales; Arecaceae.
CACACCAGGUCGGGAGCUGGAAAAGUCCUGGAAGGGUCAGUCUUUUACAAACUUCGGCUGGGGAUAUUUUAUACCCAACACAAACCUUUCGAUGCUUCAUUUGCAUCAUGCUUCAAACUUACAAAGUAGCUCUUACAAUACUUCUUCCAGUGCCCCUACUUACCACAAUGAUAACAGGCACCAUUUAUGAAGUCCUUGUUCACUU